RNAcentral lists this ribosomal RNA (2250 nucleotides) under Listeria monocytogenes. RNAcentral describes it as "partial 23S ribosomal RNA". It matches the Rfam family "Bacterial large subunit ribosomal RNA", at positions 621 to 2865 of the family's 2925-position model. The record is from RNAcentral. Lineage: Bacteria; Bacillati; Bacillota; Bacilli; Caryophanales; Listeriaceae.
CGGCGAGUUACGAUUUGUUGCAAGGUUAAGCGGAAAAAGCGGAGCCGUAGCGAAAGCGAGUCUGAAUAGGGCGCAUAAGUAACAGGUCGUAGACCCGAAACCAGGUGAUCUACCCAUGUCCAGGAUGAAGGUAAGGUAAUACUUACUGGAGGUCCGAACCCACGCACGUUGAAAAGUGCGGGGAUGAGGUGUGGGUAGCGGAGAAAUUCCAAUCGAACUUGGAGAUAGCUGGUUCUCUCCGAAAUAGCUUUAGGGCUAGCCUCGAGGUAAAGAGUCAUGGAGGUAGAGCACUGUUUGGACUAGGGGCCCUUCUCGGGUUACCGAAUUCAGAUAAACUCCGAAUGCCAUGUACUUAUACUCGGGAGUCAGACUGCGAGUGAUAAGAUCCGUAGUCGAAAGGGAAACAGCCCAGACCACCAGUUAAGGUCCCCAAAUAUAUGUUAAGUGGAAAAGGAUGUGGGGUUGCUUAGACAACCAGGAUGUUGGCUUAGAAGCAGCCACCAUUGAAAGAGUGCGUAAUAGCUCACUGGUCGAGUGACCCCGCGCCGAAAAUGUACCGGGGCUAAACAUAUUACCGAAACUGUGGAUGAACCUCUUUAGAGGUUCGUGGUAGGAGAGCGUUCUAAGGGCGGUGAAGUCAGACCGGAAGGACUGGUGGAGCGCUUAGAAGUGAGAAUGCCGGUAUGAGUAGCGAAAGAAGGGUGAGAAUCCCUUCCACCGAAUAUCUAAGGUUUCCUGAGGAAGGCUCGUCCGCUCAGGGUUAGUCGGGACCUAAGCCGAGGCCGAUAGGCGUAGGCGAUGGACAACAGGUAGAGAUUCCUGUACCAGUGCUAAUUGUUUAACCGAUGGGGUGACACAGAAGGAUAGGGAAUCGCACGAAUGGAAAUGUGCGUCCAAGCAGUGAGUGUGAGAAGUAGGCAAAUCCGCUUCUCGCGAAGCAUGAGCUGUGAUGGGGAAGGAAAUUAAGUACGGAAGUUCCUGAUUUCACGCUGUCAAGAAAAGCCUCUAGGAAGAGUAGUACUGCCCGUACCGCAAACCGACACAGGUAGAUGAGGAGAGAAUCCUAAGGUGAGCGAGAGAACUCUCGUUAAGGAACUCGGCAAAAUGACCCCGUAACUUCGGGAGAAGGGGUGCUCUAUUAGGGUGCAAGCCCGAGAGAGCCGCAGUGAAUAGGCCCAGGCGACUGUUUAGCAAAAACACAGGUCUCUGCAAAACCGUAAGGUGACGUAUAGGGGCUGACGCCUGCCCGGUGCUGGAAGGUUAAGAGGAGUGCUUAGCUUCGGCGAAGGUACGAAUUGAAGCCCCAGUAAACGGCGGCCGUAACUAUAACGGUCCUAAGGUAGCGAAAUUCCUUGUCGGGUAAGUUCCGACCCGCACGAAAGGCGCAACGAUCUGGGCACUGUCUCAACGAGAGACUCGGUGAAAUUAUAGUACCUGUGAAGAUGCAGGUUACCCGCGACAGGACGGAAAGACCCCGUGGAGCUUUACUGCAACCUGAUAUGGAAUGUUUGUACCGCUUGUACAGGAUAGGUAGGAGCCGAAGAGACGUGUGCGCUAGCAUACGAGGAGGCAAUGGUGGGAUACUACCCUGGCUGUAUGACCAUUCUAACCCGCCACGCUUAGCGCGUGGGGAGACAGUGUCAGGUGGGCAGUUUGACUGGGGCGGUCGCCUCCUAAAGAGUAACGGAGGCGCCCAAAGGUUCCCUCAGAAUGGAUGGAAAUCAUUCGCAGAGUGUAAAGGCACAAGGGAGCUUGACUGCGAGACUGACAAGUCGAGCAGGGACGAAAGUCGGGCUUAGUGAUCCGGUGGUUCCGCAUGGAAGGGCCAUCGCUCAACGGAUAAAAGCUACCCCGGGGAUAACAGGCUUAUCUCCCCCAAGAGUCCACAUCGACGGGGAGGUUUGGCACCUCGAUGUCGGCUCGUCGCAUCCUGGGGCUGUAGUCGGUCCCAAGGGUUGGGCUGUUCGCCCAUUAAAGCGGCACGCGAGCUGGGUUCAGAACGUCGUGAGACAGUUCGGUCCCUAUCCGUCGCGGGCGCAGGAAAUUUGAGAGGAGCUGUCCUUAGUACGAGAGGACCGGGAUGGACACACCGCUGGUGUACCAGUUGUUCCGCCAGGAGCAUCGCUGGGUAGCUAUGUGUGGCAGGGAUAAACGCUGAAAGCAUCUAAGCGUGAAGCCCCCCUCAAGAUGAGAUUUCCCAUUUCUUCGGAAAGUAAGAUCCCUGAAAGAUGAUCAGGUAGAUAGGUUUGG